This 472-nucleotide ribosomal RNA is filed under the name uncultured bacterium. Its description in RNAcentral is "SSU rRNA". It matches the Rfam family "Bacterial small subunit ribosomal RNA", at positions 26 to 518 of the family's 1533-position model. The record is from RNAcentral.
AGGAUGAACGCUGGCGGCGUGCUUAACACAUGCAAGUCGAACGUGAAGACGUAGCAAUAUGUCUGAAAGUGGCGAACGGGUGAGUAACACGUGGGUGACCUGCCUCGGAGUGGGGGAUAACCAUGGGAAACUGUGGCUAAUACCGCAUGAGCUUGAUCGAUUUGGCAUCGAUUAAGUAAAGCUUUAGUGCUUCGAGAGGGGCCUGCGUCCGAUUAGGUAGUUGGUGAGGUAAUGGCUCACCAAGCCGAUGAUCGGUAGCUGGUCUGAGAGGACGAUCAGCCACACGGGAACUGAGAUACGGUCCCGACUCCUACGGGGGGCAGCAGUGAGGAAUAUUGGGCAAUGGACGCAAGUCUGACCCAGCAACGCCGCGUGGAGGAUGAAGGUUCUUGGAUCGUAAACUCCUUUUGCAGGGGAAAGCAAGGAUGGUACCCUGAGAAUAAGUCACGGCUAACUACGUGCCAGCAGCCGC